AGCGAACGCUGGCGGCAGGCUUAACACAUGCAAGUCGAGCGGGCAUCCUUGUGGUGUCAGCGGCAGACGGGUGAGUAACGCGUGGGAACGUGCCCUUCGGUUCGGAAUAACUCAGGGAAACUUGAGCUAAUACCGGAUACGUGCGAGAGCAGAAAGGUUUAUCUGCCGAAGGAUCGGCCCGCGUCUGAUUAGCUAGUUGGUGAGGUUACGGCUCACCAAGGCGACGAUCAGUAGCUGGUCUGAGAGGAUGAUCAGCCACACUGGGACUGAGACACGGCCCAGACUCCUACGGGAGGCAGCAGUGGGGAAUAUUGGACAAUGGGGGCAACCAUGAUCCAGCCAUGCCGCGUGAGUGAUGACGGCCUUAGGGUUGUAAAGCUCUUUUCUCCGGGACGAUAAUGACGGUACCGGAGGAAUAAGCCCCGGCUAACUUCGUG
RNAcentral lists this ribosomal RNA (437 nucleotides) under uncultured bacterium. RNAcentral describes it as "partial 16S ribosomal RNA". It matches the Rfam family "Bacterial small subunit ribosomal RNA", at positions 29 to 507 of the family's 1533-position model. The record is from RNAcentral.